UCGAAAAUGGCAGCGCCCGGAAUAGACACAUGUCAUGUCUCUUGUUGUGCUAAUCGCACUCCUAAUGUUGUGUCAUGGGGCAGAGGAGGUCUUAUCGCAUUUGGGACAUGUAAUUCAGUUGCCCUUUAUAAUCCACAGGAAAUAAGGAUUGUUGAGGUGCUGAAUAAACACACUGGAAGAGUGAAUGCUGUCCAGUGGGUUCAUAAACAAGACUGCAGUCCGGAAACCCAGCUGGUAUCUGGUGGGUCAGAUAAUCAUGUUAUUGUCUGGGAGAAGCGG
This is a long non-coding RNA of Sinocyclocheilus rhinocerous, 279 nucleotides long. RefSeq lists it as uncharacterized. The transcript has 3 exons. NCBI's taxonomy places the organism in Eukaryota, Metazoa, Chordata, Actinopteri, Cypriniformes, Cyprinidae. The record is from RefSeq and is a predicted model, not a curated record.